ACCUAAAUUCCCAAAUUGAAUCAGAAACCCUAAUUCCCAAAUUGAGAAACCCUAACCCUAGCUUCCCUCUGUCUCAGCCGCACCCCACCCCUACUUCACCCUCUUCAGCUAACAUACCCACCCUUAAUACCCAAGUCAGCGCUGUUACCCUCACCACAUGACACACACAGAGACUUACCUCUCUCACUCUCAGCCUCACCAACGAACUCACACUCAUUUCCUCACUAUACACACGCACGCACACAUAUGGAGAAGACAGGAAGAGAGAGCGCCAGCGAAGAAGAGGGAGGAGCAGCGCCGCCACCGCACUCCGUCACACCCAGCCGCGUCUUGCUCGCCGUCGAAGCCACGCCGAUCGUCGCUGCCCAGUCGUCGUUCUGCCUCCCACCAAGCCCGUCCUGCCACUGACAUCGCCGAACAGAGGAGGGCGACCACCACGAGGAGCCACCGCCGUCCUUGCUCGUCAUCUCCCUUGGAGCCAUCGCCGUCGAGGACCAGCAGAGAGAGAGAACGCGUGACUUUCAGGAAGGAGGACGUGAGUCAGUGACGUAAGGAGGAGUGCGACCCACUGCGUGAAGUUGUGCCGCCGUGCCUUCCGUCGCCGUCGUGCCUUGGUGCCAUCGGAGGAAGCUGUUGCUACUGUGUGUACAGAGAUGAGGAGCGUCGCGAGAAUCAAGGGAAGGAGUCGUUGUUUUACCGCUGCUUCUGGUUUCUAAAAUCUGAGAAAACACCACUGCCGCUGCUGUUUGUUGGAUUCAAGAUCGCUGCUGCUAUUCUAGCUCUGUUCUGCCUCUACUUCAAGUUUCAGAGUUGCUGGAGCCUUUGCCACUGGGAUCGAAGAACAGAAAGAAGAGGAGGUCGUUUAACCUUGUCACUGUUGCUGCCAUUGGAGUCGCUAGGAACCAAUUUCUGGAGCUGCUCUUGAUGAUUCUGGUGCUGCUACAUAGGUUCCGAGCUGUUGUGCUGUUGCCAGAGGAAGGGAACUCAUAGGAAAAACGUCACCAAGGCUGCUGGUUGGUUUGAUUGCGUUGUUAAUGCGACAUUGAGUGACACAGGUUUGAAGAUUCAGUUUGAAGCUCCGGUCGAUUCUAGAAUUUACUUAUGAGUUAAGUUUAUAACUUGAGUUUUUUUCAUAGAAUUCCCUCGCCUUUGUAGUUUUAGUUUUUAUUUUAUGCAGAGGGA
Non-coding RNA from Arachis ipaensis, 1182 nucleotides. NCBI's taxonomy places the organism in Eukaryota, Viridiplantae, Streptophyta, Magnoliopsida, Fabales, Fabaceae. The record is from RefSeq and is a predicted model, not a curated record.